UGGGGAAUAUUGGACAAUGGGCGCACGCCUGAUCCAGCCAUGCCGCGUGAGUGAUGAAGGCCCUAGGGUUGUAAAGCUCUUUCACCGGUGAAGAUAAUGACGGUAACCGGAGAAGAAGCCCCGGCUAACUUCGUGCCAGCAGCCGCGGUAAUACGAAGGGGGCUAGCGUUGUUCGGAUUUACUGGGCGUAAAGCGCACGUAGGCGGACUAUUAAGUCAGGGGUGAAAUCCCGGGGCUCAACCCCGGAACUGCCUUUGAUACUGGUAGUCUUGAGUUCGAGAGAGGUGAGUGGAAUUCCGAGUGUAGAGGUGAAAUUCGUAGAUAUUCGGAGGAACACCAGUGGCGAAGGCGGCUCACUGGCUCGAUACUGACGCUGAGGUGCGAAAGCGUGGGGAGCAAACAGG
This 404-nucleotide ribosomal RNA is filed under the name Verrucomicrobiota bacterium. RNAcentral describes it as "Verrucomicrobia bacterium partial 16S ribosomal RNA". It matches the Rfam family "Bacterial small subunit ribosomal RNA", at positions 355 to 776 of the family's 1533-position model. Lineage: Bacteria; Pseudomonadati; Verrucomicrobiota. The record is from RNAcentral.